This 335-nucleotide unclassified non-coding RNA is filed under the name Hevea brasiliensis (rubber tree). Lineage: Eukaryota; Viridiplantae; Streptophyta; Magnoliopsida; Malpighiales; Euphorbiaceae. The record is from RNAcentral.
AAUAGAGAAAGAGUAUGGGAAAGGAACAGAAAGAAUUAUCUCUUUUUGAUUGAACUUGAUCUUGACGAUCUACGUCUACAUAUCUUUUUCUCCACCAUUUUCUACUUUACCUGUCCAUACAGUCCCCAACCAAAUGUUAGCAGUGCCCCCGCAUCUGUAACUGCUGCACUAUGACGCCCUCCACAAGCAAUUCCCUUCACAUAGUUUCCAGGAACUCUACUACCCUGACCCUCCAUGUUUGCACUUCCUCGAGCAAGAGAUGUAGGUCUAUCUUUGCCAAACGAAGAUGACUCGAUGCAAGGUAUAGGAUGUGGGGAGGAAACCAUACGUAUGCG